CUGGAGUGACAUGCAUUCCUUCCAGGCUAAAGCACAGAAGAGCCGUGUGAGCUCUCCAGGCUCCUCUUCUUCUGUCACAGUGACAAGUUGAAUUGCAGAUGGUGCAACUUCACUCAAUUUGGAUCCCUGAGGGACCAGGUGGUGCACGGGUUGGACGCGCAGCAUGUAAAGAAGGCGGUAAGAAGUCAGACCUCCUGGAAUGGUUCAUGCCUCUAUAGAGAACACAGUGCUCAAGCAAAUAAUUUUUAGAGCCAAUCUCUGAGUAAGAUUCUCAUGAGAAUGCCAAGCACCACUCUUUUGUGAAGAAACUAGAAGAGGAUCAAUACAUAUCCUGCCAGUUAUCUCUCAGGUUCUUUCUUUCUUUUUUCUUUUCUUUUCUUUUUGCUGAGGAAGACUGGCCCUGAGCUAACAUCCAUGCCCAUCUUCCUCUACUUUAUAUGUGGGAUGCCUGCCACAGCAUGGCUUGCCAAGCAGUGCCAUGUCUGCACCCGGGAUCUAAACUGGAGAACCCUGGGCCACCAAGGUGGAACAUGCACACUUAACCGCUGCGCCAACAGGCCGACCCCUCGGGUUAUUUCUUUUAUCUGAAACUAUAGAACAAGAGUUCCAAAACUUCAAGUGCUGAAGAUGUACCCACAGAGCUUGUUAAAAUGCAGAUUUCUAGGCCAGAAUGGGGCUCUGAAAAUCUCAUUUUGGCAGGGACCACAGGAGAUUCUGACUCUGCUCCAGGAACCCACUUUAUUGCCAUGGAAGAAUCCUAGGGAAGCUGAGGCUAGAGGGAUCCGCUUUUCUACCUUUAUUUCCUUCCACCGAAAGUGGCCUCCAAGGGAGUUGCCGUCCAUAGCCUGCCUGUUCGGGUCUCCGUCCACCAGGCACUCCCGCUUGCUUCUCCCAUCUUCCCUCCCAGGUGGAGCUGUGGGAGCACUGGCUCAGGUGGGAUGCCUACCACAGCAUUGCUUUCGCCAAGCGGUGCCAUGUCCUCACCCGGGAUCCGAGCUGGCGAACCCCAGGCCGCCAAGAAGCGGAACGUGUGAACUUAACUGCUGCGCCACUGGGCCGGCCCCACUAUUUUUAUUUUUAAUAAAAUUUGCAUUUAAGAUGCCUUAUUUUAAAGCAAUAAAGCAUAACUCCUUAUAUGUUUAAAACUCCUGUUAAAUGUUAUAAAUUAACGUCAUUUUCUGCUAAUUUACAC
RNAcentral lists this long non-coding RNA (1192 nucleotides) under Equus caballus (horse). RNAcentral describes it as "lncRNA (ENSECAG00000046442.1)". Lineage: Eukaryota; Metazoa; Chordata; Mammalia; Perissodactyla; Equidae. The record is from RNAcentral.